GAACAAUCCCAUCAGCCACCAGACUCAACAUCUGCACAUCACUCAACUCUGUCACACAUGUUCAGGAAGUGCUUAAAUCUGAAGCAGAACGCUGAACUUUAAAGAUUCUUCAAGUGUGUUUUUGUCAUAAUAAAUACUGAUGAUUAUUUGAGCUUCUCUUUCAGUGUCAGAUUUUUAAAACUCUUAUUUGUAAGGCUUUAUUGUUUAUAUUUCUCUCAGAGACACACAGAUCUCACUUUACUACUACUGCUGUAUAUUUGUCAUGUGUAUUUUACACUGUUGUUGAUGAUCAAAUUAAAAUAGCAUCUUUUUAAUGUGUCUGACGGAGUUGACACAAAUUCAGUUCUGAAGUACAUUUUUAGAAGAAAACAUUUUCAGAAAAACCUGUUCCCUUACAUGUUCAUUAUCUGAGACCUUUGUCUACAAAUAUAUCAGUUUAUAAUAAUGUGUUAUUAAAUAAUAAAAACUAACAUCUCAAA
Megalobrama amblycephala (Wuchang bream) is the source of this 479-nucleotide long non-coding RNA. RefSeq lists it as uncharacterized. Lineage: Eukaryota; Metazoa; Chordata; Actinopteri; Cypriniformes; Xenocyprididae. The record is from RefSeq and is a predicted model, not a curated record. The transcript has 2 exons.